This is a non-coding RNA of Parelaphostrongylus tenuis, 73 nucleotides long. The record is from the annotation of a GenBank genome assembly. NCBI's taxonomy places the organism in Eukaryota, Metazoa, Nematoda, Chromadorea, Rhabditida, Metastrongylidae.
GCCUCGGUGGUGCAGUGGUUGAGCACGCGUCCCCGGAUAGGAUGAAAUAAGGGUUCGAUUCGCUCCUGAGGUC